GAUAAACGCUGGCGGCGCACAUAAGACAUGCAAGUCGAACGAACUUAACUCAUUCUUUUAGAUUGAGAGCGGUUAGUGGCGGACUGGUGAGUAACACGUAAGCAACCUGCCUAUCAGAGGGGAAUAACAGUGAGAAAUCAUUGCUAAUACCGCAUAAGCUAGUAGUAUCACAUGAUACAGCUAGAAAAGGAGCAAUCCGCUGAUAGAUGGGCUUGCGUCUGAUUAGCUAGUUGGUGGGGUAACGGCCUACCAAGGCGACGAUCAGUAGCCGGACUGAGAGGUUGAACGGCCACAUUGGGACUGAGAUACGGCCCAG
Molecule: ribosomal RNA, 316 nt
Filed under: uncultured bacterium
Lineage: Bacteria
Description: bacterial SSU rRNA
Rfam family: Bacterial small subunit ribosomal RNA
Source: RNAcentral